This 451-nucleotide ribosomal RNA is filed under the name uncultured organism. RNAcentral describes it as "partial 16S ribosomal RNA". It matches the Rfam family "Bacterial small subunit ribosomal RNA", at positions 333 to 800 of the family's 1533-position model. The record is from RNAcentral.
ACACUCCUGCGGGAGGCAGCAGUGGGGAAUAUUGGACAAUGGGCGCAAGCCUGAUCCAGCCGUGCCGCGUGAGUGAUGAAGGCCCUAGGGUUGUAAAGCUCUUUCACCGGUGAAGAUAAUGACGGUAACCGGAGAAGAAGCCCCGGCUAACUUCGUGCCAGCAGCCGCGGUAAUACGAAGGGGGCUAGCGUUGUUCGGAUUUACUGGGCGUAAAGCGCACGUAGGCGGACUAUUAAGUCAGGGGUGAAAUCCCGGGGCUCAACCCCGGAACUGCCUUUGAUACUGGUAGUCUUGAGUUCGAGAGAGGUGAGUGGAAUUCCGAGUGUAGAGGUGAAAUUCGUAGAUAUUCGGAGGAACACCAGUGGCGAAGGCGGCUCACUGGCUCGAUACUGACGCUGAGGUGCGAAAGCGUGGGGAGCAAACAGGAUUAGAUACCCCAGUAGUCCCAUGA